This is a non-coding RNA of Acanthosepion pharaonis, 99 nucleotides long. NCBI's taxonomy places the organism in Eukaryota, Metazoa, Mollusca, Cephalopoda, Sepiida, Sepiidae. The record is from the annotation of a GenBank genome assembly.
UGUUAAAAUACUGGUUCCCAUACAAUCACUGAAGUUAAGCAAGGUCGAGCCUGGUCAGUACCAAGAUGGGUGACUGCUUGGGUAUAUCAAGUGCUGUAA